This 459-nucleotide long non-coding RNA is filed under the name Equus caballus (horse). RNAcentral's name for it is "lncRNA (ENSECAG00000053813.1)". Lineage: Eukaryota; Metazoa; Chordata; Mammalia; Perissodactyla; Equidae. The record is from RNAcentral.
AACAAGUGGUCCCCAGGCUCCUGUUGACUUCAAGGAGAACAAUGGUGGCCUUGCAGAGUCUGGCCUUUGGAGAUGGAGCUCACACGUGGAAGGAUCCUGGAUCAGAACCAGUUUAGUUUUUCUUCUGUUCUAAUGCCAGUAUUUUCUUAGUACCCACUUUACAGAUAAGGAAACAGGUGUGAAGAUGUUGGGUAACACGACCAGCCUGAGGUCUGGCGUCUUCAGAGCAGACAAUUCACUCAGGGGUGGUUUCUCCAGUGCGGCUGGGAAGAGAAGCGGCAGACAGAGAGAAAAAAAUUACUGGGAGUAGAAUACAGCGUGAACAGGAGAGGGACACUGGAGACAAGAGGACGGAAGGAACGGAGUCAGGAGAUCUCGGAAAUCAAGCUUCCAUAUUUUGGAACAUUACGGGAGAACAACUAAAGAGAGACUUCUGUAGAGUUAAAAACAUCUACACUG